This 458-nucleotide ribosomal RNA is filed under the name uncultured bacterium. Its description in RNAcentral is "partial 16S ribosomal RNA". It matches the Rfam family "Bacterial small subunit ribosomal RNA", at positions 338 to 795 of the family's 1533-position model. The record is from RNAcentral.
CCUACGGGAGGCAGCAGUGGGGAAUAUUGCACUAUGGGGGAAACCCUGAUGCAGCGACGCCGCGUGAGUGAAGAAGUAAUUCGUUACGUAAAGCUCUAUCAGCAGGGAAGAAACACUGACCUUAUGGUCAGCAGACGGUACCUGAGUAAGAAACCCCGGCUAACUACGUGCCAGCAGCCGCGGUAAUACGUAGGGGGCAAGCGUUAUCCGGAUUUACUGGGUGUAAAGGGAGCGUAGGCGGGGCGCCAAGUCUGGAGUGAAAGGCCGCAGGUUAACUGCGGAAGUGCUUUGGAAACUGGCGAACUAGAGAGCGGGAGGGGUAAGCGGAAUUCCUAGUGUAGCGGUGAAAUGCGUAGAUAUUAGGAGGAACACCGAUGGCGAAGGCGGCUUACUGGACCGUAACUGACGUUGAGGCUCGAAAGCGUGGGGAGCGAACAGGAUUAGAUACCCUGGUAGUC